RNAcentral lists this ribosomal RNA (735 nucleotides) under Triticum aestivum (bread wheat). RNAcentral describes it as "partial small subunit ribosomal RNA". Lineage: Eukaryota; Viridiplantae; Streptophyta; Magnoliopsida; Poales; Poaceae. The record is from RNAcentral.
AUGGCGCUCAUCGAUCGCCAACCAAGGCAACCAGAACCACCCGACAAGCUUCCAGUCGCCAUUCAAAAGGUGCUAGACGACUACAGCGACGUGUUUAGCGAGCCCAAGAAGCUUCCCCCGCACCGGCAGUAUGAUCAUGCGAUUACGCUGGUCGAAGGAGCUCAACCAGCAAAUGCGCGGCCAUAUCGCUACUCACCAUUGCAGAAGGAUGAGAUCGAGCGACAAGUUCGAGAAAUGCUGGAGUCCGGAGUGAUUGAGCACAGCAUGAGCCCCUUCGCUGCUCCAGUACGUCUGGUCAAAAAGAAGGACGGCACGUGGCGCUUUUGUGUGGACUAUCGUCGGCUCAACGACCUCACCGUCAAGAAUCGCUUUCCCCUGCCCAUCAUCGACGAGCUGCUUGACGAGCUCGCCGACGCCAAGUUCUUUUCCAAGAUGGAUCUCCGCGCCGGCUACCACCAGAUUCGUAUGGGGCCGCGCGACGAAGAGAAAACAGCCUUCAAAACUCAUCACGGCCACUUCCACUUCCGUGUCAUGCCAUUCGGGCUGACAAACACGCCAGCCACAUUUCAGUGCCUGAUGAACCAAAUUUUCGCAAGGUACGUUCGUCUAUUUGUCAUCAUCUUCCUUGACGACAUUUUGGUGUUCAGUGACACACUGGAAGAGCACGAGGAGCACCUACGCACCGUCUUCGACUUACUCCGCCAACACCAGCUCUAUGUCAAGCUAUCCAAGUGA